UCAACAGAGUCAAAUUAAGUUAAACGCGCGCUACCUUACAAACUCAUCUCAUCGUCUGUCCUCCUUGGCCCACCGCACCGGCGGCCGUUGACGGUUCCGGUGUCCUCUUAUACCUUACCAACCUAAGCAUCAUAACACGCUAGACACGCCUGUGGUAACGGAAUUGAGCAACAACUAAAGGAUUCAUGGAAUCGCUCCUAGCAACGGAAGAGACCUAGCCUAUUCAAAGUUCAAUUACACGACUCUCACUGGAGAUUAAUGCCUAAUACCAUGGGGUUUUCAUUUCUCCGCCUAAAGGCUACGUGCCGGUACACUCAGAGCAAGAAAGUGAUAACGAAACCUAACUGACAUAUCGGAGAAGAUGAUCGGAGAAUUCGCCGACUUUGAUCUUGUUUGCUGAAUCCACUUCAUGGGACAAAUUUUUUCAGGGCCUGUGAUGUGCUUGGUUGGGAAAUUCAAUGGCUUUGGAGGUUUGGCAUGGCUUCAAUGUGCUUCUGCAACAGUCCAAAACAGGUUCAACAACAUGCAUUUGCCAAGUUAUAUCAUGAUGCUUUGGACUGACCAGCUGACUGCUUUCACCAAGAACUUCAUUGUAACUGCUAUGCCUUGGCUUGAUGAUGGACAUGGAUGUUGCAGGGUGGUGCUUGUGUAAGACUGAUGUGGUUUGGUGUGAUAUGAAGUCUUGAUGCAGGUUUGGUAUGAGAUGUUGUUUAGAUGUGUGUUCCACUGCUGUGAUGAUGGUUUCAUGAGCUACUCACAUUUGAAAAUGCAACAUUUAGGCCAGUUCAAUGGAGCAUGAUGUUACCCUCUGACUCAAUCAAAACCAAAGGCCAUGUAGCUUGGAUCAAGGCUAUUGGUUCUGUCUUGUAACAGGGUGUAGCAACUUGUAGCAUUGCCUUGGUUUUGGUUCACUUGUGGUCAAAUUGAUAGCCUGCUUACAGAUUUUACUCAUGUAGCAGCUCAUAAUCUCAAGGCUUGCAGCAAUCCUGACUUGAUGACUAGUUCAGCUGCUAGUUGCUAGCAAAAUAGUCUUAUGAAUUAGGAUAAGGCGUUUGUGGUUUCAUUCUCUUGUUGCAAUUCUUACUCCAAAUUGGCUAGACAACUUAGCUGAUAGUUGAUGGAUGCUUGGAACAGGUAAUAUGAAUUGAGGUGCCUCAUGUUCCUUUAGCCAUUGAUGGUGAAUGGUAGGUUCAACUUCAGUUUUGCUUGGUCAUAAUUCUUUGACAGGAUGAGUUGAGUUAAUGAUGUGUGGCUUUCUUUUUGUUGAUUGUUUUGGUCAUGACUUGGAUAUUGUUUGCAUCAUCAUGUCAUUUUCUUGGUCAUGUAUGGUUGGAUUUGUUAGCAUAACCUCUAACAUGUUUGAAUUUAUUUGAUUAUUGGUGAAUGCAGGACUGGUUUGUCAUGGUAGGUAAGGCAAAAUGCAAAGCAGUGUGUGGCAAGGUAAGGCAAGAAUGACCAAGUUAUGGCAUGGCAAUAUGUUGUACUGCAGGAUCACAGCAGGUCUGUUGUAUGAAGCUUACACAUUAGCUGGUUUGAUGAUGCAGUGUGAUUAGUCUUAUAGCAGGGUUCUUGUCCUGGUUCCAAUUUAUAUGCUGCAGAACUAAAUGUAGGAGUAUUGAUGGUUGUGGUUUGCUAGGAUUUGGCUGAACUGCCCGUUGAAUUAACUGUGUUACAGGUUUCUGUGUUAGGUUCAAUAUGCAAAGCUGCAUCGCAUGUGUCGUGACUGUUGUGUUGGAUUGUGAGCAGGAUGUUUAAGGUUGAAGCUUCCAUGCCAUUAUCACCAUGACAAACUCAAGGCCAAGUAUAGGUUCCACUGGUUAUGUGCUUAUGGUGUUGCUACAAAAUAUCAAGCAAGGCAAAGUGUGUGCAACAGGUUGUAGCUUGAACUGACUUUACUUUGGUUAGAAAUGAUGUGUAGUGGGGUGGACUGCUGCAAGAUUUAAAAUUGUGUAGGAUGCUUGGUUCAAGGCUACACAUGGUCAACAUUGAUUCUGCUGCAGGAAAUCCAUUAAGCCAAUGGUCAUGGUUUGGCUUCAUCAUUUGGUUAGUGUCUUGGUCAGGAAGUGACAUUUUCCACAGGAUUCACACAUGUUGGGUUCAGUGUGCAUGUUGGUCCUGUUAGUGGUCUGCUGCAAGCAGAUUUCCUCCUGACCUGGAUAAGUAGCAGCUAGACCUUCCCUCAUGGCUUGCUUUUAUUUGAGAUUUAUAACAUGCUGCCAACGGGUUUUUUUUGCAGGUUUGGUUAUUGCUGUGACAGGUACCAAGCAAUGAACAUGGCUGCAUGUUAACUUAGGCUUAUUUGCAAACUGAUAUGAUAUGCUUAUCCAAUGCCAUUUCCUGAUGAGUUUGUGGCAGCAAUGUGUUGUAGCAAGCUAGCAUGAUGGUGGUAUGGUGUUGUUGUAAAGCAAUAUGUGACAUGAGUUGUGACAACAACAUUGGCUAAACCAUAUGCAUCCAUGGAUUUGUUGCACAAUGGUUAAGCUGUUAGGGAACUCCUUGGUCAAUGGUUAGGGCAAGCCCAAGGCAAAUGGUUAUUGGUUCAUGGUCAAGACAACAUGGUUUGCACAAUGGGACUUGCUUGCAAUGGAAGAAACCAAUAAAAAUCAACAACAAAUGAAGAUUGGGUGAUGUAUUGAAGAAAAAGGCCAGGCCAAGUUGGAUGGGCAAUAACAAGUAAAAGUUGACUUUGGUCAAAUUUGACCCAAAGUCAACUGUUGACCAAAGUCAACAAAUGGUCAAAAUGUAUUUUCUUUGUGAUUUCUUUGUAAAUGGAUAUUCAAUGGACAAUUAUGGGUGAAUUUAGGGUUUAAUGGAUUUGGGUUGACUUUGGUCAAAGUUAACCAAAAAGUCAAUUGUUGACCAAAGUCAACAGUUGGUCAAAAAUGCCAAAUUUUGUAUUUUCUUGUAUGGAAUCAGAUGUAAUGGUUUAAAAUGGAUGAAAUGGAUUGGAAUGAUUUUUAAAAAUGAUUGGAGAUUGGUUUCACAAUUGGCUUGAAUGUUUGACUUUUGAAAAGAAAAUAACUUGACUGAUAGUAUAU
Long non-coding RNA from Lathyrus oleraceus (garden pea), 3038 nucleotides. RefSeq lists it as uncharacterized. The record is from RefSeq and is a predicted model, not a curated record. The transcript is spliced from 3 exons. Lineage: Eukaryota; Viridiplantae; Streptophyta; Magnoliopsida; Fabales; Fabaceae.